ACGUAGGGUGCGAGCGUUAAUCGGAAUUACUGGGCGUAAAGCGUGCGCAGGCGGCUUUGUAAGACAGAUGUGAAAUCCCCGGGCUCAACCUGGGAACUGCAUUUGUGACUGCAAGGCUAGAGUGCGUCAGAGGGAGGUGGAAUUCCGCGUGUAGCGGUGAAAUGCGUAGAUAUCGGGAGGAACACCGAUGGCGAAGGCAGCCCCCUGGGCCGAUACUGACGCUCAUGCACGAAAGCGUGGGGAGCAAACGG
RNAcentral lists this ribosomal RNA (251 nucleotides) under uncultured prokaryote. RNAcentral describes it as "partial 16S ribosomal RNA". It matches the Rfam family "Bacterial small subunit ribosomal RNA", at positions 525 to 775 of the family's 1533-position model. The record is from RNAcentral.